This 253-nucleotide ribosomal RNA is filed under the name uncultured bacterium. RNAcentral describes it as "partial 16S ribosomal RNA". It matches the Rfam family "Bacterial small subunit ribosomal RNA", at positions 524 to 776 of the family's 1533-position model. The record is from RNAcentral.
UACGUAGGGGGCAAGCGUUGUCCGGAUUUAUUGGGCGUAAAGAGCGUGUAGGCGGCUUGGUAGGUCCGCUGUGAAAACUCGAGGCUCAACCUCGAGAUGUCGGCGGAAACCACUUGGCUAGAGUCCGGAAGAGGAGAGUGGAAUUCCUGGUGUAGCGGUGAAAUGCGCAGAUAUCAGGAAGAACACCUAUGGCGAAGGCAGCUCUCUGGGACGGUACUGACGCUGAGGUGCGAAAGCGUGGGGAGCAAACAGG